CGAGAACCCCACCCCCAGCUCGCAUGGGGGGCCCCACUUCCAAAGGCCCACUGCCCACCACGGUCUUCUCGCCAGCGCCGCUGCCAUCUUGAGAAAGAGUGGAGGGUAUUAGAAGUUUCAAAACAGCCCAGCGAGAGGCAGGACUGAGCCGAGGAGAGACUGAAAACUGGCGGAGUCCGGAAACAGAUACGCGAAGUUUCCUUAUCUUUGGGCUGCAGAUGUCCGGAUAGGAAACUCCGGCAGGAGAUCCGAAAGGGCAUUUUUUUUAAAUCACUCAAAUGAAAAUACACAGUAUAGGUGACUCCAUGGAAAAAUAAUAAAGGGCAGGUUUUUUUUG
This is a long non-coding RNA of Balaenoptera musculus (blue whale), 337 nucleotides long. RefSeq lists it as uncharacterized. NCBI's taxonomy places the organism in Eukaryota, Metazoa, Chordata, Mammalia, Artiodactyla, Balaenopteridae. The transcript is spliced from 2 exons. The record is from RefSeq and is a predicted model, not a curated record.